This 73-nucleotide ribozyme is filed under the name Crocodylus porosus (Australian saltwater crocodile). RNAcentral's name for it is "Mammalian CPEB3 ribozyme (ENSCPRG00005006746.1)". It matches the Rfam family "Mammalian CPEB3 ribozyme". From Rfam's summary of the family: The mammalian CPEB3 ribozyme is a self cleaving RNA located in the second intron of the CPEB3 gene which belongs to a family of genes regulating messenger RNA polyadenylation. This ribozyme is highly conserved and found only in mammals. Lineage: Eukaryota; Metazoa; Chordata; Crocodylia; Crocodylidae. The record is from Rfam by way of RNAcentral.
ACAAGUUUGAGGCCACAGUAGAAGUGCUCACGGUGCAGCGCUGUCAGAUUCCAACAAAUCUGCAAAUUCUGUU